Molecule: ribosomal RNA, 611 nt
Filed under: Methylobacterium sp. H5.61
Lineage: Bacteria; Pseudomonadati; Pseudomonadota; Alphaproteobacteria; Hyphomicrobiales; Methylobacteriaceae
Description: bacterial SSU rRNA
Rfam family: Bacterial small subunit ribosomal RNA
Source: RNAcentral
UCGAGCGGGCACUUCGGUGUCAGCGGCGGACGGGUGAGUAACGCGUGGGAACGUGCCUUCUGGUUCGGAAUAACUCAGGGAAACUUGAGCUAAUACCGGAUACGCCCUUUUGGGGAAAGGUUUACUGCCGGAAGAUCGGCCCGCGUCUGAUUAGCUAGUUGGUGGGGUAACGGCCUACCAAGGCGACGAUCAGUAGCUGGUCUGAGAGGAUGAUCAGCCACACUGGGACUGAGACACGGCCCAGACUCCUACGGGAGGCAGCAGUGGGGAAUAUUGGACAAUGGGCGCAAGCCUGAUCCAGCCAUGCCGCGUGAGUGAUGAAGGCCUUAGGGUUGUAAAGCUCUUUUAUCCGGGACGAUAAUGACGGUACCGGAGGAAUAAGCCCCGGCUAACUUCGUGCCAGCAGCCGCGGUAAUACGAAGGGGGCUAGCGUUGCUCGGAAUCACUGGGCGUAAAGGGCGCGUAGGCGGUCUUUUAAGUCGGGGGUGAAAGCCUGUGGCUCAACCACAGAAUUGCCUUCGAUACUGGGAGACUUGAGUUCGGAAGAGGUUGGUGGAACUGCGAGUGUAGAGGUGAAAUUCGUAGAUAUUCGCAAGAACACCGGUGGCGAA